GGAAUAUAGUAUAAAUAGUUAGUACGCUAGACUUUUAAUCUAGAGAUGCGGGUGCGACUCCUGCUAUUCCUC
Molecule: transfer RNA, 72 nt
Filed under: Streptococcus gallolyticus
Lineage: Bacteria; Bacillati; Bacillota; Bacilli; Lactobacillales; Streptococcaceae
Description: tRNA-Lys
Rfam family: tRNA
About the family: Transfer RNA (tRNA) molecules are approximately 80 nucleotides in length. Their secondary structure includes four short double-helical elements and three loops (D, anti-codon, and T loops).
Source: RNAcentral